This is a long non-coding RNA of Leopardus geoffroyi (Geoffroy's cat), 4266 nucleotides long. RefSeq lists it as uncharacterized. The transcript has 2 exons. The record is from RefSeq and is a predicted model, not a curated record. Lineage: Eukaryota; Metazoa; Chordata; Mammalia; Carnivora; Felidae.
GAUGCAUCUGCGUACUGGUCCUGGGUGGCGGCCACUUUGCUUGCAAACGUAUCUGUGGAGGAAGAAAAAAAAAAAAAAAGGCAGUGACACUCAAUAUUUUAGGUCCGUGGAGCACUGGAAGCUUCCGCGACGUACUCUAGGGUCAAAUCCCCUGACGGAAACCUCGUGACCAGGAGGAGGUUUUCCUCUUCUCUGGAGUUCCCCUCCUGUGGUCAGAACAAUGGGAUCUAGACAUCAGAAGUCAAAUGUUUGGUGUUGGCUGUGUUACCAGAUGAUCUUGGGUCAAUUUCUUUGCCCACAGGUAGCACAGUUCUUUGUGAAACUGAGCUUGCAGGGCAGCAUUUUUCAGAGUGAUCACGACCCGUCUACAUUAGAAUCACAUGGGGGUCCUCAAGCGUGAAUGGUACAAGGUUCCAUCCAGCUGGGCUGCAUCAGAAUCACCGGGGCCCAGGAAUCUGCUUUAACAACAUCCCAAGAGAUUAUAGGUCACUAAAGCUUGUGAAUGGCUAUUGGAGGGAAUUGCUAAAAGGUUCUGUAUCGACAGCUCUAGGUUACAGAUGAGGAAGCUAAGGUGUCAGGAGAUCUUUCCAAAGAUUCAAGAGCAAAUCCUCAGUGGAACUGAAGCUAAUUGAACCAUAAUAAUAGCUGGCAUUGGCCUAGAGCCUUAGGAAUAGGAAAGCUGACUCACCUACAUUACUGCACUGAUUGUGACAAUUCUAUGAGGGGGCACACUUUAUAGGUGAGGACACUGGGCUUCUGGAGAAUAAGUGAUGGGUGCAACAUCACGCAACAAGGGAGAAGCCAUCUCGUGGCUCGCGCUGGGACCUCCCGCCGUCACUGCAAGUACUUGUUCACUGCAGGCAGCAUCGUACCUUUCGCUAUGCCAUGCGUACCAGUGGCCAUUCUCAAAGCUUUGUUCACCAGUAAUCCCGAGUGCAUCUUCUUCUGAAGAUAGGAAAAUCGUGGUCCAUACAAGGAGUAGGACAAGUGACUGAUAUUCACGAUGAGUAGAGCAUAGGGCAUGUUUGUGCCAUCAAAUCCUGUCGUCACAACUGAAUGUGUGACCCCAGGUGGAUUACUUAAUUUCUCAAGCCUCGAUUUUCCAAUCUGUGAAAUGGGGAUAGUGACACCCACCUCGGGGUGCUGUUGAAAUGCUAUAGCACGGAUGCUAUGAAAGACGAAAGGAGGAAGGAAAUUUACUUAAAUUCGUAGAAUUCUGGCUCCACCAUUCGCCAGGUAAGAAGCUUACCUACUUCAGAGGGUUUUGAAAGAAACGUGUUAACGUGCGCAGCAUGCAGAUUAGGGCCUGAGACCUAAUGAGUGUUCAGCAUUAUUGGCUAUUUUUAUAACCCAGUAGCACCAGAUCCUAAGAGAAUAAGUGGUGGGGAAUUCUGACUUAACGUGAUAAUUCUAAACUUUCAGGGAGUUAUAACAUCCUUUAAAGACUGCCUAACUUUAUGAUCAUAUGCAUUUAAAAAUGCGAUAAAGCAUAAAAUUAUUCUCAAAAAUCAAAGCGAUUCUUUAUUUUGAAAAUUUCAUAUAGCCUGAGUCAUGGAAUGGCAUUGGAGCUCUUCUAGUUUUAAGGCUCUAAUCUCACUAGUGACUGAAAGGCAAGCAGGCAGGCAUCUAUUCUCCUUUAGGCACUUUUUGUCUUGCUUUUUUAGAAUUCAAAUGAAAAUCAUUUACAUGCGAAUUCUUCUGUCACUGAGGACUUUGAACAAGAUUUUGUCUUUAGUUGUGACAUUUACCCAAGUAAAUACGAAAACCACACUGCCUCACACACGCACUCCAUUGGUUCAUCUCAAAAGAAUCCUUAUUUGACUUUCAGGUGAAGUGCAAGAGGUCAAGGAAUUACUGAUGUUGAUGGAUUAAUGACCAGUUAGGAGUUGUAAAAACAGAAAAAGGGAAGAACACUUCAAUGAGAUUUCUGCCCAUAAAAGCUCCCUGAAAGAGUGUAAAAAAGAAAUGGAGAUGGUGACGUGACUUAUUUUUAGAAGGGAACAGAGGUAAGUAAGCUCCAGAGGAUUCAUGUUGGUACAUCUACUCAUUUUUAUCCCCAACUGCAAAUCAGAAGCACCAGGGCAACAUUUGAAAAAUACUAGCUUCCUAGCCCCACCCAAGCUUCUGUUUAAUUUGUCUGGAGCACCAGUAUUUUUUAAAGCUCCCCCAACCAGACUGAGAUCCACUAACCACUCAGAGCCUUUGUUUCUUCAUCCGUGUGAGGACAGUGGCACCUCCCGGAUAGCGUAUGGAAUAGCCCUGACGCACAGAUCGUCGAAAACCAGCCUUGUUUUGUUACCAAAUAACUGUUUUCGUUUUGAUGUCUUUGCAAGGGUACCUCCAGGACUUUGUUUUCCUGUUUUGUAUUUGAAAUCCUGGGAGAUUUGAAAUUCAAAGAGAUUAAUUCUAAUUAAAAGGGAAAAGUAAUGGGGGUUUGUUUUUCUGAGGAACACAAAGUGGAGGAGAGAGUGAACACAAACCAACAGUGCUAUUUGAUCUGCCUUCCAAAGUGUAAUUUGAUCCGUGCUCUCAAAAGAACAUGAUAAUACUCCACUCUUAAACACACCCAUAAUGGGAUGAUUGUUCAGUAUGAUGUCUGAAGAUUCAAGAGAGGAUCCAAGGUUCCCCUUCCUUGUUUAAACGUCUAGCUUCAUGAGGUUUGCUGAAAUUUUCUCAAAUCCCUGGUUCUAAAUCUUUGAGGUCAACAACAACUUUUGAGCCUCUCAAAGAACUCUAAAGGUUUGUCUGAGAUGGGGCUAAUUCAAUUCAAUUCAAUUCAUUCUGUUCAAUUCUAUUCACUCCUCCCCAUGCCCACUCUUGACCUUGAAAAAAGCCCUAAACCAACUAGCUGGGUGUGUAGCAAAGAAGUGGUAUUCUGACCUGGUUGUCUCCUGAGACUUGCAUUAACAUGGUCUUGGAGUGGACCAGAUUAUGUAUGUUAAGUGGGUUUGGUACUUUCACUUUGGGGGUCUUGCUUGUCUAUUUCCCCACAUAAAAAGGUUUAUGCAGAUUAUUGUGGUGGAAGUUGCAACGUGUGCCUGAUAAAAUAAGGGGUGCAGGGUUGACUGACUUGAGAGAAGUCUCCUGUCUCUGUUCAAGUGGUAAACAGGCAGCUUGAUGAUGACCAUAGUAUUCCACAGUUCCCACUGGGUUCAUGUGAAUCAUUGGUUCUGCUUGGCAUUGAGAGCCUUAGUAAGCAGAGGUCACUGUCCAUAGUUCAUUUGGUCACCUGGUUCCAUGUUACUUUGUGGUUAACCACUGUUGUUACUGAAGAAUGCCAGUGCUGAUUACUGUGGACUGCAUAAUGUCUCUAGUUAUAGUAGGAAGGAGCCUAAGCUAUGGAGUAAGACCUGGUCCUGGUCCCAUUUACCAUGUACUGGGUGUGUGGCCUUGGGAUAACCUCUCUUUAAGACUCUGAUAUCUGUAAAAUAGCGAAAAUAAAAGUCCCUAUUUAUAUAGCCAUAAAGAUGAUCAAAAGAAGCACUACAAAACGGCUCAGGAUGGUGUCUGGAAGUUAGUAGGUGCACAGCGAAUAUUUCCUAUUUCAGAAUUCUUUGUUCUGGUGAUAACAAAGGGAAUGUUAAUGAUAUUAACCACUUUUUAUUAUGGUUUCCUUUAGCUAGGCGAUUUAAGGUUAAUAAACCUAUAGGAUUUAGGGAGAAUGUGUUUCUGUCUUUGAUGUCCACAAAUGAUAGUGGUGAUAAGGGCAGUGAUAGUUAACAUUUAUGAGGCUCCUAGGCGAGGCUCUAUAUAUGGCUUCCCAUCAGGGCACCUGGGUGGCUCAGUCGGUUGAGUGUCUGACUUCAGCUCACAGUUCGUGGGUCUGGACCCCACAUCGGGCUCUGUGCUGACAGCUCAGAGCCUGGAGCCUACUUCGGAUUCUGUGUCUGUCUGUCUCUCAAAAAUAAAUAAACAUUAAAACAAUUAUAUAUGGCUUCCCAUGUAAUCUACAAGACAAUUGUAUGAAGUAGGAACUUUUAUUAUCUUCAUUUGAUAGAUGAGAAAAUUGAAUCUCUGAGUAUAUAAAGUUGGCUAAAGUUAUAUAGCCAAUAAGAGGUGACACUAGUAUUCACAAACUAAUGUGCUCCUAGCCAGAAUUCAUGUUCUUAACCACAAGUGCACUGUGUAUUGACUGACUUUAUGCAUAAGAGCAUGGGGUGUUGACAAGGACUAAAUAACAUACCUGAAAUUUGAAAAUGGGCAAAGGGUUCCAAGAAAAUAUCCAGAAACCUUAUAAUGUUCACCUCUGACUAUAACUACACAAUA